UAGACACAGGGUGUUGAUUGGUGUGUUUA
RNAcentral lists this non-coding RNA (29 nucleotides) under Homo sapiens (human). The record is from RNAcentral. Lineage: Eukaryota; Metazoa; Chordata; Mammalia; Primates; Hominidae.